UCCCUGGUGGUUGAGAUGGUGAAGAAUCUGCCUGCAAUGCAGGAGACCCAGGUUCGAUCCCUGGGUUGGGAA
This 72-nucleotide transfer RNA is filed under the name Ovis aries (sheep). It matches the Rfam family "tRNA". From Rfam's summary of the family: Transfer RNA (tRNA) molecules are approximately 80 nucleotides in length. Their secondary structure includes four short double-helical elements and three loops (D, anti-codon, and T loops). The record is from Rfam by way of RNAcentral. Lineage: Eukaryota; Metazoa; Chordata; Mammalia; Artiodactyla; Bovidae.